This 189-nucleotide non-coding RNA is filed under the name Nanoarchaeota archaeon SCGC AAA011-L22. Its description in RNAcentral is "RT-16 RNA". It matches the Rfam family "RT-16 RNA". From Rfam's summary of the family: candidate division DUSEL4 (Archaea). Nearby to self-splicing intron genes The record is from Rfam by way of RNAcentral. Lineage: Archaea; Nanobdellati; Nanobdellota.
CCUAGAAAUUAUCCUGAUUUCGAAUCAGGGAUAAUAAAGUGGGCUACAUGCAUAUUCAUUAAGGCAUGGAUGAUUGAAUCUAUAUGCCGAUGAAAUACAAUAACAAUAGUUAGUAGUAAUGACAAGCCUUGGGGAAGUUUUGAACGAAAAUUAGAGUUAUGGUGAGACUUGAUGAGUGUGCUAUGCCUG